Glycine soja is the source of this 1246-nucleotide long non-coding RNA. RefSeq lists it as uncharacterized. NCBI's taxonomy places the organism in Eukaryota, Viridiplantae, Streptophyta, Magnoliopsida, Fabales, Fabaceae. The transcript is spliced from 3 exons. The record is from RefSeq and is a predicted model, not a curated record.
CACAACUCAUUUUUCUCUGGCAGAUUCAAAAGUUUGCUAUGCGGUUUCCAUCAAUCUAUGAAGCAGAGUCAUUUAUCAAUGCUUUGAAGGAGAUUCUGAAAGGUGACAAGGAUCCAGAACCUUUGAAUACCGACUUUGGUUCUGAAAUUUUGUCGCAGUCAGAGUUCAUGUCAACAAUUGGAGGAAUGGGAGGAUACAACUAAGUUCUUAAUCUUAGGCCUUGAUAGAUUGUUAAAUAACCUUUCACUGAUCUGUUUUCUGUUUUCCCGCAUUUGUCUAGAGUAGAUAUAUGCUUCUCCUUACCUAUAUAAAAGUUUUAGUUGACUUAAUUGUUUUGGUGGCAAUUUAUACUGAGACUUGCUGUAUUUGUAGAGCUUGCCUGGAAUUGAGUUUUAUGACUCCAGAUGAUAAUUACAUUCCACAAUUGCCACUAUAUGUGAAUAAUGAGGUGGGUAGACCUUCAGGAUCUCAAGAAACGGCAACACCACCUGGUCACAAAUUUGAAGACAUUCUCCCUGCCUUGCCACCCAGUUUUUCCACACUAGUUCUUUUGUUCUAACCUAAUAUUUGUUCUGAUUUCUAUCGCAACCUAUUUCAUUUAAAUAAAAUCAUAUGUUGCAGCUCAACCAAUUGUUUCAGAGGAAAUUGAGCUCAAAUCGCAAAUUGUGGUACAUAUUUUUGAAUUUUUGCUAAGAUAUUACUUGUUGAUGCUUGAUUAACGUAAUUAUAUUGAUAUGAUGCUCAUUAUAAUAUAAAUUUUCUCUAAGAUGCAAAUAUUUGGAGAGUGCAACUUCUCUACUACUCAUUUGUUGUUCCAUGAUAUUUCUUUCCCUUUGAUGCUGAGGUACAUGGAAGAUUCUUCCUUCCAAGAUAUGUUGGUUAAGGUGGAGAAAGUUAUCAGCGAAUUGGGGGGGUGAUAUGUCCUUCUAGUUUUCCAGGGCAUUGAAAAUGGCAUAACGAGCAGCUUAGCAAGUCUUCCUGCUUACUGAAUACUAAAGCAUGAUGACCUUCACCUCAUAUUGCCCAAAAAAUGUACAGUGAAUUUCUUUCUCUCCUUCCAUUCUUUCUUUACUAUGCACUAUGCAACUGAGUUACUGAUUCAAGGCUAAAUUUUGUCUUAGCAUCUUUUAUUGUUCAGCAAAUAGCUGUCAGAAGAAAGGCAAUGUAUGAUGAUGAUCAGUGUUUAGCUAGUGAAAACAUAUCAAGUGGUUUCUGUUUUAAGAAAUCCUAGUUAAAACAGUGAUCU